Molecule: ribosomal RNA, 227 nt
Filed under: uncultured bacterium
Lineage: Bacteria
Description: partial 16S ribosomal RNA
Rfam family: Bacterial small subunit ribosomal RNA
Source: RNAcentral
UGAGUAACACGUAUCCAACCUGCCGUCUACUCUUGGACAGCCUUCUGAAAGGAAGAUUAAUACAAGAUGGCAUCAUGAGUCCACAUGUUCACAUGAUUAAAGGUAUUCCGGUAGACGAUGGGGAUGCGUUCCAUUAGAUAGUAGGCGGGGUAACGGCCCACCUAGUCUUCGAUGGAUGGGGGUUCUGAGAGGAGGGUCCCCCACAUUGGAACUGAGACACGGUCCAA